Molecule: long non-coding RNA, 290 nt
Organism: Phyllostomus hastatus (greater spear-nosed bat)
Lineage: Eukaryota; Metazoa; Chordata; Mammalia; Chiroptera; Phyllostomidae
Exons: 2
Source: RefSeq, a predicted model, not a curated record
GGGAAAUGGGGAGGCAGUGAGACCAGCCCAGCCGGAGAGACAGGGACGGGAGUCCCAAGGGUACAGUGGAGAGGUGGGGAAUGGGUGACUUAGCUGAACAGCAUCCCCGAAUAUGGGGGCUCAGUGUCCUAGGAACACUCCGAGGGGACCACUGUCUUCUCCACAGUGCUGCCUUCGUGGGUCACCUGGCAGCUGUACUGGCUGGCAGAUUUCCACUUGCUGGCUGACACGCUCAGGUAGCUGCUGGCCGCAUACUUGUUGUUGCUCUGCUUGGAGGGCUUGGUGGUCUC